Melospiza melodia melodia is the source of this 1599-nucleotide long non-coding RNA. RefSeq lists it as uncharacterized. The transcript is spliced from 4 exons. The record is from RefSeq and is a predicted model, not a curated record. Lineage: Eukaryota; Metazoa; Chordata; Aves; Passeriformes; Passerellidae.
GGCACUGAGCCCGGCACCGCCUGCCCUGCGAGCGGACGAGGCGAGAGCGAGUGGGAGAGACGGCGAGCGACGCUGCGUUCCCUCCCCCCUCCCCUUCAGCACCCCGGCGGACCGACCGACCCUGCCCGAGGCGCUGCUGCGGCUCCCCGGGGACACGCCGCCGCCUCGGCUGCCCCGCUCCCCGCCGGUCCCUGCCGGAUCCCUGCGGAGAACGCGGAGAGAGCCGCGGGAUCGCCCCGCUCCCGCCUGCCCGCGGAUCCCGCUGCGAGCCAGGCACACAGACUGUCGGGUUUCCCCGCUCCCUCCUCCCUCCGUGAAAGACUUUGCUGGAUCCUCCUCCCCGGAUCCCCUCCCCGCGCUCGCUCCUUCCUGCGGGAGCGGCUGCCGGAUCCUCCUCCCGCCGCGGAUCGCCCGCGGGGUCCCUGCGGAGCCGCGGACCCUCCUCCCCUGGCAGAGCCUCCGCUGGAUCCUCCGCCCCCCCGGAGCUCCCGGCGGGAUCCUCCUCCUGCCCGCAGCCCCAUGUGAGACUCCGCAGCCCCCGUGCCUCCGCCGUGCUCUUUCAGUUGGGUUUUUUUUUUUUGUUGUUUUUUUCCACCCCCCUCCUCCUUUUAUUUUGAAGGGGGGAUCCAUCUUAAAACUCUUUUUCUGGAUCCCGGUUUCUCUUUUUUUGAUUUGCACUUUUUGAAAAACCCUCAGAUGCUCCUCCAUGUGGACUGAGAACCCAUCAAGACACACACACGAGAACUCAUCCCGAUCAACUCCAAAUCCUGGCUUUCCGUGGGUUUUGCUGCAACACAUGAAAGCAAACUUGUAUUUAAGACACACUCGUGCAGAAAUUUAGCUGGGGACUUGAACGUGUAUUUUGUCUUGGUUUCUUGGUUAUUUUUUUGUUGUUUUAUUUUUCUUUUUUUUUUUUUAAUUUUGCUUCACUGGAAAUCAAAAGCUUGUUUUGGAAUUGGACCUGCUUUUGCUGCACUUCUCCUCUGGGCUGGAUAACACUGAAGCUUUUUGCUUUUCUACUUGGAUAGUGUUUUCCUGUUGAUCUGUUGGGUUUUUUUCAUCUCCUGUGUGGCAGACUUUUUUUUUUUUUCCCUGAGGGGGGUAAACAAACGACGACAAAACAACAAAAAACUUAAUUUUUUUGGCCGUGUGAGAUUUUUUUCGUAUUCAUAUUCGUGAAAUUACGGGUACACUUACAAAAAAAUUGAAAAAAAAAAAAAAAGAAGCAUUAAAAAUAAGAAAGGAACACGUCAGAGAGACCCCUACACGGUAGACAAAAUACUCACUUGUUUCCUUACAGCAAGACUGAAUCGAAAGCUGCCAAAGAGCCCCAUAAAGAAAAGACUAAAAGGGAGAAAGAACAAGAAACACAAGAAGAGGAACAUUUGAUGGAAGAAAAGAAAAAGAAAAAGCAGGAAGAAAAGAAAAAGAAGGAAGGUGCUCAGAAAAAGGCUGCUGAACAAAAAACCAAAGUGCCAGAACCUAUUAAGACCAGUUUAAGCCAGCCCCAACCUGCCGGUACCGGUACCAGUACUUCCACCAGCACUCUCACCAACAGCAGCAAUGGCAAGCGCACCUCUGCCAAUGGGCAGCAGCCUG